RNAcentral lists this ribosomal RNA (120 nucleotides) under Scophthalmus maximus (turbot). The record is from RNAcentral. Lineage: Eukaryota; Metazoa; Chordata; Actinopteri; Pleuronectiformes; Scophthalmidae.
GCUUACGGCCACACCGCCUGGUUCACGCCCGAUCUAGUUUGAUCUCGGGAAGCUAAGAUAGGUUGGGCCUGGUUAGUACUUGGAUGGGAGACCGCCUAGGAAUACCAGGUGCUGUAAGGC